This 723-nucleotide ribosomal RNA is filed under the name uncultured microorganism. Its description in RNAcentral is "bacterial SSU rRNA". It matches the Rfam family "Bacterial small subunit ribosomal RNA", at positions 60 to 772 of the family's 1533-position model. The record is from RNAcentral.
AGUCGAACGGCAGCAUGAUCUAGCUUGCUAGAUUGAUGGCGAGUGGCGAACGGGUGAGUAAUACAUCGGAACGUGCCCUGUAGUGGGGGAUAACUAGUCGAAAGAUUAGCUAAUACCGCAUACGACCUGAGGGUGAAAGUGGGGGACCGCAAGGCCUCAUACUAUAGGAGCGGCCGAUGUCUGAUUAGCUAGUUGGUGAGGUAAAGGCUCACCAAGGCGACGAUCAGUAGCUGGUCUGAGAGGACGAUCAGCCACACUGGGACUGAGACACGGCCCAGACUCCUACGGGAGGCAGCAGUGGGGAAUUUUGGACAAUGGGCGAAAGCCUGAUCCAGCAAUGCCGCGUGUGUGAAGAAGGCCUUCGGGUUGUAAAGCACUUUUGUCCGGAAAGAAAUGGCUCUGGUUAAUACCUGGGGUCGAUGACGGUACCGGAAGAAUAAGGACCGGCUAACUACGUGCCAGCAGCCGCGGUAAUACGUAGGGUCCAAGCGUUAAUCGGAAUUACUGGGCGUAAAGCGUGCGCAGGCGGUUGUGCAAGACCGAUGUGAAAUCCCCGAGCUUAACUUGGGAAUUGCAUUGGUGACUGCACGGCUAGAGUGUGUCAGAGGGGGGUAGAAUUCCACGUGUAGCAGUGAAAUGCGUAGAGAUGUGGAGGAAUACCGAUGGCGAAGGCAGCCCCCUGGGAUAACACUGACGCUCAUGCACGAAAGCGUGGGGAGCAAA